GUGCAGGUCCUGUGCAACAGGCGGCCGUGAACCAUGUCAGGCGGGGAACCGAGCAGCAUUAAGCGGUUUGCCCUGUGUGCCGCAGCCAAUCGGUACUUC
RNAcentral lists this signal recognition particle RNA (99 nucleotides) under Oscillospiraceae bacterium. RNAcentral describes it as "signal recognition particle sRNA small type". It matches the Rfam family "Bacterial small signal recognition particle RNA". Rfam says of the family: The signal recognition particle (SRP) is a universally conserved ribonucleoprotein involved in the co-translational targeting of proteins to membranes. Archaeal SRP consists of a 7S RNA and homologues of the eukaryotic SRP19 and SRP54 proteins. The record is from RNAcentral. Lineage: Bacteria; Bacillati; Bacillota; Clostridia; Eubacteriales; Oscillospiraceae.